AUCGCUUCUCGGCCUUUUGGCUAAGAUCAAGUGUAGUAUCUGUUCUUAUCAGUUUAAUAUCUGAUACGUCCUCUAUCCGAGGACAAUAUAUUAAAUGCGAGGACAAUAUAUUAAAUGGAUUUUUGGAGCUAGGAGAUGGAAUAGGAGCUUGCUCCGUCCACUCCACGCAUCGACCUGGUAUUGCAGUACCUCCAGGAACGGUGCACCCCCU
Molecule: small nuclear RNA, 211 nt
Filed under: Ailuropoda melanoleuca (giant panda)
Lineage: Eukaryota; Metazoa; Chordata; Mammalia; Carnivora; Ursidae
Description: U2 spliceosomal RNA (ENSAMEG00000029579.1)
Rfam family: U2 spliceosomal RNA
About the family: U2 is a small nuclear RNA (snRNA) component of the spliceosome (involved in pre-mRNA splicing).
Source: Rfam by way of RNAcentral